GACGAACGCUGGCGGCGUGCUUAACACAUGCAAGUCGAGCGGUAAGGCCCUUUCGGGGGUACGACGAGCGGCGAACGGGUGAGUAACACGUGGGUGACCUGCCCUCAGCUCUGGGAUAAGCCUGGGAAACCGGGUCUAAUACUGGAUAUGACUCCAUGACGCAUGUUGUGGGGUGGAAAGCCUUGUGCGGCUGAGGAUGGGCCCGCGGCCUAUCAGCUUGUUGGUGGGGUGANGGCCUACCAAGGCGACGACGGGUAGCCGGCCUGAGAGGGCGACCGGCCACACUGGGACUGAGACACGGCCCAGACUCCUACGGGAGGCAGCAGUGGGGAAUCUUGCGCAAUGGGCGAAAGCCUGACGCAGCGACGCCGCGUGAGGGAUGACGGCCUCGGUGUAACU
This 399-nucleotide ribosomal RNA is filed under the name uncultured bacterium. RNAcentral's name for it is "bacterial SSU rRNA". It matches the Rfam family "Bacterial small subunit ribosomal RNA", at positions 28 to 430 of the family's 1533-position model. The record is from RNAcentral.